Mycena leptocephala is the source of this 94-nucleotide non-coding RNA. The record is from the annotation of a GenBank genome assembly. NCBI's taxonomy places the organism in Eukaryota, Fungi, Basidiomycota, Agaricomycetes, Agaricales, Mycenaceae.
GCCUCUAUGGAUCAGUUGGAGAUCACCCCGUAACCAUGUUGUCUGGACAAGAAUAUCUUAUGGGGAGACGUGGGUUCGAAUCCCACCAGAGGCA